AUUGAACGCUGGCGGCAUGCCUUACACAUGCAAGUCGAACGGCAGCACGGGAGCAAUCCUGGUGGCGAGUGGCGAACGGGUGAGUAAAGUAUCGGAACGUGCCCAGUCGGGGGGGAUAACGUAGCGAAAGUUACGCUAAUACCGCAUACGAUCUAUGGAUGAAAGCGGGGGAUCGCAAGACCUCGCGCGAUUGGGGGGGCCGAUAUCAGAUUAGGUAGUGGGUGGGGUAAAGGCUCACCAAGCCGACGAUCUGUAGCUGGUCUGAGAGGACGACCAGCCACACUGGGACUGAGACACGGCCCAGACUCCUACGGGAGGCAGCAGUGGGGAAUUUUGGACAAUGGGCGAAAGCCUGAUCCAGCCAUGCCGCGUGCAGGAUGAAGGCCUUCGGGUUGUAAACUGCUCUUGUACGGAACGAAAAGGUUUGGCCUAAUAAGCUGAGCUCAUGACGGUACCGUAAGAAUAAGCACCGGCUAACUACGUGCCAGCCGCCGCGGUAA
This 500-nucleotide ribosomal RNA is filed under the name uncultured bacterium. RNAcentral describes it as "partial 16S ribosomal RNA". It matches the Rfam family "Bacterial small subunit ribosomal RNA", at positions 29 to 523 of the family's 1533-position model. The record is from RNAcentral.